UGCCAGCCGCCGCGGUAAUACGUAUGGUGCAAGCGUUAUCCGGAAUCACUGGGCGUAAAGGGAGCGUAGGCGGUUUUGCAAGUCAGAAGUGAAAGGCUACGGCUCAACCGUAGUAAGCUUUUGAAACUGCAAGACUAGAGUGCAGGAGAGGCAAGUGGAAUUCCUAGUGUAGAGGUGAAAUUCGUAGAUAUUAGGAGGAACACCAGUGGCGAAGGCGACUUGCUGGACUGUAACUGACGCUGAGGCUCGAAAGCGUGGGGAGCGAACAGGAUUAGAUA
This 278-nucleotide ribosomal RNA is filed under the name uncultured bacterium. RNAcentral describes it as "partial 16S ribosomal RNA". It matches the Rfam family "Bacterial small subunit ribosomal RNA", at positions 506 to 784 of the family's 1533-position model. The record is from RNAcentral.